RNAcentral lists this ribosomal RNA (253 nucleotides) under uncultured bacterium. RNAcentral's name for it is "partial 16S ribosomal RNA". It matches the Rfam family "Bacterial small subunit ribosomal RNA", at positions 524 to 776 of the family's 1533-position model. The record is from RNAcentral.
UACGUAGGGGGCUAGCGUUGUCCGGAUUUAUUGGGCGUAAAGAGCGUGUAGGCGGCCAGGUAGGUCUGGUGUGAAAACUCGAGGCUUAACCUCGAGAUGUCAUCGGAAACCAUCUGGCUAGAGUCCGGAAGAGGAGAGUGGAAUUCCUGGUGUAGCGGUGAAAUGCGCAGAUAUCAGGAAGAACACCAAUGGCGAAAGCAGCUCUCUGGGACGGUACUGACGCUGAGAAGCGAAAGCAUGGGGAGCGAACAGG